GCCCGCUGAAGGACGACUCCAGGUACGGGAAAUUAUUUCUCGUUGCAUUGAAGACCUGUCGGUGACCUUCUGCUGUUGUCUGCUCUAUGGUCGGCUUGUUGUCUCUUCGGCACAUUCCCCAUUUCCAUUCUCAAAUUUAUUGUGUUUAUCCUUCUUUGGUGAAGUCAUGUAUACAAAUUAUUUUGUCAAAAUUUAUGGCAAAUUAUGUGUACAUGUAUGUUUACCUGGUCAGUGUCACUGUUGAACGACAAAUGACGAUACUCUCAGUCUGUUUUAUUUAAAUACGUGGUAUAUACCAGAAAAUUCUAUUCAAAACAGCUCGAAGUCUACCAUCCAACACUUUUCAAUAAUAAAUAUCAAUAUCAUGAACGAAAGAAUAUCGUACAACAUGCACCGGAAAUGGUAGGAGGUGAGUUCGUACCAUGUCUGGGUAUGAGGUCCGUUCGUACCUCUUCUAUUUCGUACCUUAUAUUGAAUGUCCUUUUGUCUUUUGUCUAUCUUUAUUGAUGUCAUAAUUGCUGUUCCAAAUGAACAAAUAUUGUAUAGCUAUAAGGGAGUGGAUGUAGGUUAACAUUAUAAAGAGUAGAGAAUGAUGACAUGAUAAAUAUAUAUGGUUAAUGAGUAAUAUCACUUUAGGCAUAAUUCUGAAUAUAAGAGGGGCGAAAACUCCAAUUUUUGUUUAUGCAUCCUUUUAACCAAAAUUUAUAAGUAACCACAAGUCGCAACUAACAAUUAAGUAAAAAUAAUUUGUUGAUAUCUUAUAAGGUUAUUGAAAAAGAGUGAAAAUAAGCCAAAAUCAAAAUUUAGAUUUUGACCUUGACCUUUGACCUUGACCUAAUUUUCAUUUUUUUGGACCAAGGAUCUUAAAUCAAAAGACCCUAGGUCUCUAUCACUUAUGGUUUACCAGUUAGAAAUGCAUAUCACUUAUAUCAUAUACAAAAGGGGGGAUAACUCUCAUAUGGAGUCUCCGGAUAGCUUCGGUCAAAAUUAAACAGAACAUCCUGAGGAUAUAACGAGCAAUUUGGUAAAAUAAAUUUGUCGUAAUCUUUUACGGUUGCGAAGGAGUAGUGGCCACAAGAAAAACAGUGUUCAGGGAGAUAACUCUUACAAGGUAAAGUUUUCUGUUACGCGGUGUCAGUUUCAGAAGCGUAUUAACUGUUUGAUAUCAUAUACCAUAUAUCUAAGCGACAUCUUGGGAAACAAAAAAACAGUGAAGCAAAAAAAAGUUGGCGGAAGAAAAAAAAAAAAAAAAAAAAUAAUAAUAAUAAUAAUAAUAAUAAUAAUAAUAAUAAUCAGAACAAAUACAAUAGGUCUUUCACCUGAAAGGUUGAAAGACCUAAUAAUCAGACGAAUA
This 1354-nucleotide long non-coding RNA is filed under the name Mytilus galloprovincialis (Mediterranean mussel). The record is from RNAcentral. Lineage: Eukaryota; Metazoa; Mollusca; Bivalvia; Mytilida; Mytilidae.